UCAGAUUUUACAUUUCUGUAGUGCUUCUUCACUCUCAUACGCAAACGAUCGUCUUCUUUUGAUAUUUUGUACAUUUUUGUUUUUUGUAUAUAUAGACUUGCCUCAAUCAACCUCUUUAAUUCUCUUUUCACGUAUCGACAUUCAUUUAAUAUGCUUGUUCAUACAUCAUAGACGUGUCCAAUCUAUAAAUACUUGGUAGGAAAUAUGAAUCAUCACUAUAAUGUAUCAAUU
Molecule: long non-coding RNA, 231 nt
Filed under: Brassica rapa (field mustard)
Lineage: Eukaryota; Viridiplantae; Streptophyta; Magnoliopsida; Brassicales; Brassicaceae
Description: long non-coding RNA (BRAP_LNC004696)
Source: RNAcentral